Molecule: long non-coding RNA, 1126 nt
Organism: Mauremys mutica (yellowpond turtle)
Lineage: Eukaryota; Metazoa; Chordata; Testudines; Geoemydidae
Exons: 3
Source: RefSeq, a predicted model, not a curated record
CUUAAUCUCUUCUCUAGUGUGUUGGCCAACAUUCUCUGUCUCUGUCCUUGCCUUUCCUUGUGCUGUCUCUGUUCAUAGGACACGGGCAGGAGUGCUAGGUGUGCAUCCCCACAGGCUAGGUCUCAGGCGCUAUGAAGAAGUAAGGGGGGAUGAAAAUCAUGCAGGGUAGUGGGCGCUAGAGUGGAGCAGUGACCGUCAGUGUUGACUCAGUCUCUGUUCAUCGAGUCGGGCUGAUGUAGCUGAGAUGGGAGAGGGAGGCAGGGAUGAGGGCAUUCAUAGAACUCUGUGUAGUGACAGUUCUUGCUUGGCUUUAUUAGUUUGCAGAGGAAUUGUCCAGAAGCCCCAGCCGGAUGAGAAUGUCAGAAGUGGACCUGAGCAGCCUGGACAUCCUUCUAAGGAAACAAGAAUAGUCCUCAGGUUUCUGCCUUCUGCAUAACUGGCUGAGUGGUGUGUCCUCUGCAGUAGAAGGUUGGAUCCAGGAGGAUGACUCUAGGUGUUUGCAGAGUAAUCAUCCAGGAGGUGUCUCCAGAGGAGAAGCUGGCAGAGGUCGACCUGAACUGCCUGGACAUCCUUCUAAGGAGACAUGAAGGGUCCUCAGUUUUCUUCCUCUCAUGUAAGCUGUCACUGCUUGGAAUUCCUCAUCUGUACUUGCUGUAGUUCUCUUGACAGGCUGUGUGCUUCCUCCUUGGGUACGGGGCUCUGUGGCUGGGGAGGGCCCAGAAUCUGCUCUGCAGAGUGACUCUGUUGGGUGCCAUUAAGAGGGCCAAUGCAGAGAGGAGAAAAGGGGCCUGAACCCUGAUUACAGGGCAGUCACCCUUUCUUUAGUAAAAUACUCUUCCUUUAAACUCGGUGUGGGUGGGCGGGGGGAAGUCCCCAAUGUGAAAAGAUCUGGAAAUGAACAGGUAAGGGAGGGAUCCUGCUGAGUGUCUCCUUUCCGAUCAAUCCUCCAUCUCUCAGCGACACCCUUCCGAACUUACCUUCCUACCUCACCAAGAAAAUAACUUGGUGCUCCCUAACCUUUACCAGAAAAGACCCCCCUUCCUUGUGAUGCAGUCCUGUUAGUAGGGUUAGGUGCACCCACGUGCUGGCUCUGAAUACCACCGCAUGUGCUUACAACACCUGAACA